UACGGAGGGGGCUAGCGUUGUUCGGAAUUACUGGGCGUAAAGCGCACGUAGGCGGAUGUUUAAGUCGGGGGUGAAAUCCCGGGGCUCAACCCCGGAAUGGCCUUCGAUACUGGACGUCUGGAGGUCGGGAGAGGCGAGUGGAAUUCCGAGUGUAGAGGUGAAAUUCGUAGAUAUUCGGAGGAACACCAGUGGCGAAGGCGGCUCGCUGGCCCGAUACUGACGCUGGUGUGCGAAAGCGUGGGGAGCAAACAGG
This 253-nucleotide ribosomal RNA is filed under the name uncultured bacterium. Its description in RNAcentral is "partial 16S ribosomal RNA". It matches the Rfam family "Bacterial small subunit ribosomal RNA", at positions 524 to 776 of the family's 1533-position model. The record is from RNAcentral.